GACGAACGCUGGCGGCGUGCUUAACACAUGCAAGUCGAACGGAAAGGCCCUGCUUUUGUGGGGUGCUCGAGUGGCGAACGGGGGAGUAACACGUGAGUAAACUGCCCUUGACUUUGGGAGAACUUCAGGAAACUGGGGCGAAUACCGGAUAGGAGCUCCGGCUGCAUGGUGGGUGUUGGAAAGUUUCGGCGGUGGUGGAUGGACUCGGGGCUUUUCGGUUUGUUGGUGGGGUAGUGGCUUACCAAGGCUUUGACGGGUAGCCGGCCUGCGAGGGUGACCGGCCACAUUGGGACUGAGAUACGGCCCAGACUCCUACGGGAGGCAGCAGUGGGGAAUAUUGCACAAUGGGCGGAAGCCUGAUGCAGCAACGCCGCGUGCGGGAUGACGGCCUUCGGGUUGUAAACCGCUUUCGCCUGUGACGAAGCGUGAGUGACGGUAAUGGGUAAAGAAGCACCGGCUAACUACGUG
Molecule: ribosomal RNA, 468 nt
Filed under: uncultured bacterium
Lineage: Bacteria
Description: partial 16S ribosomal RNA
Rfam family: Bacterial small subunit ribosomal RNA
Source: RNAcentral